CACGUAGGGUGCGAGCGUUGUCCGGAAUUAUUGGGCGUAAAGAGCUCGUAGGCGGUCCGUCGCGUCGGAUGUGAAAUUCCAGGGCUCAACCCUGGACCUGCAUUCGAUACGGGCGGACUAGAGUUCGGUAGGGGAGACUGGAAUUCCUGGUGUAGCGGUGAAAUGCGCAGAUAUCAGGAGGAACACCGGUGGCGAAGGCGGAUCUCUGGGCCUUACCUGACGCUCAGGCGCGAAAGCUAGGGGAGCGAACAGG
RNAcentral lists this ribosomal RNA (253 nucleotides) under uncultured bacterium. RNAcentral's name for it is "partial 16S ribosomal RNA". It matches the Rfam family "Bacterial small subunit ribosomal RNA", at positions 524 to 776 of the family's 1533-position model. The record is from RNAcentral.